Molecule: long non-coding RNA, 457 nt
Filed under: Manihot esculenta (cassava)
Lineage: Eukaryota; Viridiplantae; Streptophyta; Magnoliopsida; Malpighiales; Euphorbiaceae
Description: long non-coding RNA (MESC_LNC008467)
Source: RNAcentral
GGCCAUUUAGAUGCUCUAUUAAUUGAAAACUUAUAGGUAUAUCCUUUGUCCUGAGAAUGUUUACGAAUCCGAAUUCCCAUCAUACCCUGUGAAAAUUUGCAUUAGUAGUUCGUAGAUAUUCUGCAAGGCACAGAAACACACGCGUAGCUGUGAUAAAAAAAAAUGCAAUAAAAAUAGCAGCAAUGCUCGUGAUGGUGAUGGUGAUAUUGUUUGUAACGGUCACACCAAAAGCAAUAAUUGAUGAACAAAAAAGUUCCCAUUGAAAAACUAUUGAGGAUAGUGGUACUACCAUCAGUGGUGGUUAUAGCAAUUCACAGUAUUGAUACUGUUUGUGUCAAUAAUGGUAGCUGUGGAGUUACAGUAUCGAUGAAGAAAGAAGUCAAUACUACAGGCUAGGAUAAUGGUGGUGAUGGUGACACUGUUCAUCAUGGUUGUGAUUAAUUGAUUACAAUUCUGG